CCUUGUACACACCGCCCGUCACGUCACGAAAGUCGGCAACACCCGAAGCCCGUGGCCCAACCAGCUUGCUGGGGGAGCGGUCGAAGGUGGGGCUGGCGAUUGGGACG
RNAcentral lists this ribosomal RNA (107 nucleotides) under uncultured bacterium. RNAcentral's name for it is "partial 16S ribosomal RNA". It matches the Rfam family "Bacterial small subunit ribosomal RNA", at positions 1379 to 1482 of the family's 1533-position model. The record is from RNAcentral.